Molecule: ribosomal RNA, 253 nt
Filed under: uncultured bacterium
Lineage: Bacteria
Description: partial 16S ribosomal RNA
Rfam family: Bacterial small subunit ribosomal RNA
Source: RNAcentral
UACGGAGGAUGCAAGCGUUAUCCGGAAUGAUUGGGCGUAAAGCGUCCGCAGGUGGCUGUGUAAGUCUGCUGUUAAAGAGUGAGGCUCAACCUCAUAAAGGCAGUGGAAACUACAUGGCUAGAGUGCGUUCGGGGCAGAGGGAAUUCCUGGUGUAGCGGUGAAAUGCGUAGAGAUCGGGAAGAACAUCGGUGGCGAAAGCGCUCUACUGGACCGCAACUGACACUCAGGGACGAAAGCUAGGGGAGCGAAUGGG